This 910-nucleotide ribosomal RNA is filed under the name uncultured crenarchaeote. RNAcentral describes it as "bacterial SSU rRNA". It matches the Rfam family "Archaeal small subunit ribosomal RNA", at positions 1 to 922 of the family's 1478-position model. The record is from RNAcentral. Lineage: Archaea; Thermoproteati; Thermoproteota.
UUCCGGUUGAUCCCGCCGGACCCGACUGCUAUCGGAUUGAGACUAAGCCAUGCGAGUCAACCCGCAAGGGUGGCGGACGGCUCAGUAACACGUAGUCAACCUGCCCUAGGGACGUGGAUAACCACGGGAAACUGUGGCUAAACCGCGAUAGAUCAUUGCUGCUGGAAUGGGCAAUGGCUCAAACCUAUAUGGCCCUAGGAUGGGACUGCGGCCGAUCAGGUUGUUGGCGGGGUAAUGGCCCACCAAGCCUGUAACCGGUACGGGCUCUGAGAGGAGAAGCCCGGAGAUGGGCACUGAGACAAGGGCCCAGGUCCUAUGGGACGCAGCAGGCGCGAAACCUUCGCAAUAGGCGAAAGCCUGACGAGGUUAAUCCGAGUGUUUCCUGCUAAAGGAAUCUUUUGUCAGCUCUAAAUAGGCUGAUGAAUAAGGGGUGGGCAAGCCUGGUGUCAGCCGCCGCGGUAAUACCAGCACCCCGAGUGGUCGGGAUGAUUAUUGGGCCUAAAGCAUCCGUAGCCGGUUCUACAAGUCUUCCGUUAAAUCCACCUGCUUAACAGUUGGGCUGCGGGAGAUACUGUAGGACUAGGAGGCGGGAGAGGCGAGGGGUAUUCCUUGGGUAGGGGUAAAAUCCUCUGAUCCAUGGAGGACCACCAGUGGCGAAGGCGUCUCGCCAGAACGCGCUCGACGGUGAGGGAUGAAAGCUGGGGGAGCAAACCGGAUUAGAUACCCGGGUAGUCCCAGCUGUAAACGAUGCAGGCUCGGUGAUGGACUGGCUUCGCGCCAGUCCAGUGCCGCAGGGAAGCCGUUAAGCCUGCCGCCUGGGGAGUACGGUCGCAAGACUGAAACUUAAAGGAAUUGGCGGGGGAGCACCACAAGGGGUGAAGCCUGCGGUUCAAUUGGAUUCAACGCCGGA